AGUGAACGCUGGCGGUAGGCCUAACACAUGCAAGUCGAACGGCAGCACAGUAAGAGCUUGCUCUUACGGGUGGCGAGUGGCGGACGGGUGAGGAAUACAUCGGAAUCUACUUUUUCGUGGGGGAUAACGUAGGGAAACUUACGCUAAUACCGCAUACGACCUACGGGUGAAAGCAGGGGAUCUUCGGACCUUGCGCGAUUGAAUGAGCCGAUGUCGGAUUAGCUAGUUGGUGGGGUAAAGGCCCACCAAGGCGACGAUCCGUAGCUGGUCUGAGAGGAUGAUUAGCCACACUGGAACUGAGACACGGUCCAGACUCCUACGGGAGGCAGCAGUGGGGAAUAUUGGACAAUGGGCGCAAGCCUGAUCCAGCCAUACCGCGUGGGUGAAGAAGGCCUUCGGGUUGUAAAGCCCUUUUGUUGGGAAAGAAAAGCAGCAGGUUAAUACCCCGCUGUUCUGACGGUACCCAAAGAAUAAGCACCGGCUAACUUCGUG
RNAcentral lists this ribosomal RNA (492 nucleotides) under uncultured bacterium. Its description in RNAcentral is "partial 16S ribosomal RNA". It matches the Rfam family "Bacterial small subunit ribosomal RNA", at positions 29 to 507 of the family's 1533-position model. The record is from RNAcentral.